RNAcentral lists this ribosomal RNA (166 nucleotides) under Dumasia villosa. RNAcentral's name for it is "5.8S ribosomal RNA". It matches the Rfam family "5.8S ribosomal RNA". Rfam says of the family: 5.8S ribosomal RNA (5.8S rRNA) is a component of the large subunit of the eukaryotic ribosome. It is transcribed by RNA polymerase I as part of the 45S precursor that also contains 18S and 28S rRNA. Functionally, it is thought that 5.8S rRNA may be involved in ribosome translocation. Lineage: Eukaryota; Viridiplantae; Streptophyta; Magnoliopsida; Fabales; Fabaceae. The record is from RNAcentral.
ACAAAAUGACUCUCGGCAACGGAUAUCUCGGCUCUUGCAUCGAUGAAGAACGUAGCGAAAUGCGAUACUUGGUGUGAAUUGCAGAAUCCCGUGAACCAUCGAGUCUUUGAACGCAAGUUGCGCCUGAAGCCACUAGGCUGAGGGCACGCCUGCCUGGGUGUCACAC